CCUACGGGAGGCAGCAGUGGGGGAUAUUGCACAAUGGGGGAAACCCUGAUGCAGCGACGCCGCGUGGGCGAAGAAGUAUUUCGGUAUGUAAAGCCCUAUUAGCAGGGAAGAAGAAAUGACGGUACCUGAGUAAGAAGCACCGGCUAAAUACGUGCCAGCAGCCGCGGUAAUACGUAUGGUGCAAGCGUUAUCCGGAUUUACUGGGUGGAAAGGGAGGGCAGGCGGCUCGGCAAGCCAGAGGUGAAAGCCCGCGGCCAAACCGCGGGACUGCAUUGGGAACUACCGGGCUGGAGUGCGGGAGAGGUAGGCGGAAUGCCUGGUGUAGCGGUGAAAUGCGUAGAUAUUAGGAAGAACACCAGUGGCGAAGGCAGCUUACUGGGCGGUGACUGACGCUGAGGCACGAAAGCGUGGGGAGCAAACAGGAUUAGAUACCCGAGUAGUC
RNAcentral lists this ribosomal RNA (442 nucleotides) under uncultured bacterium. RNAcentral's name for it is "partial 16S ribosomal RNA". It matches the Rfam family "Bacterial small subunit ribosomal RNA", at positions 338 to 795 of the family's 1533-position model. The record is from RNAcentral.